AUAAUCAAAUUUUAAGACGUAUUAUAAAGUGAUCUUCAUCAAAACUGAAUUUUGCUGAAUCAAAGCCAGGACAAAGACUCUACUAAAAUAGUGAUUCCAGAGAACAUGGUGAAAGCCCGUCUCUACUAGAAAUACAAAACUUAGUUGGGCGUGGUGGCAGGAGCCUGUAAUCCCAGCUAGUCGGAGGCUGAGGCGCGAGAAUUGCUUGAACCGGGAGGUGGAGGUUGCAGUGAGCUGAGAUUGUGCCACUACACUCCAGCUUGGGCAA
This 268-nucleotide long non-coding RNA is filed under the name Pan troglodytes (chimpanzee). Its description in RNAcentral is "long non-coding RNA NONPTRT002974". Lineage: Eukaryota; Metazoa; Chordata; Mammalia; Primates; Hominidae. The record is from RNAcentral.